RNAcentral lists this long non-coding RNA (455 nucleotides) under Gopherus agassizii (Agassiz's desert tortoise). RNAcentral describes it as "lncRNA (ENSGAGG00000007503.1)". The record is from RNAcentral. Lineage: Eukaryota; Metazoa; Chordata; Testudines; Testudinidae.
CUGAGUUCAUGCGGUUGAAAUCUUGACUUUGGUCACAAGUGAAAUGAGGUCUCACAGUCUAAGGUAGAUAUUUGUCCACUACUACAUCACAAACUACCAUACUAUUUGAUAAAAGCCCUACAUGAUUGUUUAGAAGCUUGAGAUUCCUGUCUUCACAGGUGUCGUGAUCACAUGGAGCAUUGGAAGCUGCCCAGAGGGUAGAAAAUGUUGCACUAUGCUAUACUCCGGCAAAGGAUAAAAAUUAUCCAGUAAUUCGAGUUGCAGUCAUCACCAUCCAUCUUCUGGCAUUGCCUCUUAGUAAAGCCUGUACUGCUAUUAAAGAAAAUUGUCAACUGGUUCUGCAGAACACAGAAUACUUGUCUCCACUGUUGCUGACUUCCUUGGGUCAGUAGUUUUGGGUAGCCUUUCCCAGUACCUGGGUGAGUUCUGCCAUCAGCAUGUGACUUUAUGGGAGC